CCUACCAUGCAGUCGACGGUAACAGGAAGCAAGCUUGCUGCUUCGCUGACGAGUGGCGGACGGGUGAGUAAUGUCUGGGAAACUGCCUGAUGGAGGGGGAUAACUACUGGAAACGGUAGCUAAUACCGCAUAACGUCGCAAGACCAAAGAGGGGGACCUUCGGGCCUCUUGCCAUCGGAUGUGCCCAGAUGGGAUUAGCUAGUAGGUGGGGUAACGGCUCACCUAGGCGACGAUCCCUAGCUGGUCUGAGAGGAUGACCAGCCACACUGGAACUGAGACACGGUCCAGACUCCUACGGGAGGCAGCAGUGGGGAAUAUUGCACAAUGGGCGCAAGCCUGAUGCAGCCAUGCCGCGUGUAUGAAGAAGGCCUUCGGGUUGUAAAGUACUUUCAGCGGGGAGGAAGGGAGUAAAGUUAAUACCUUUGCUCAUUGACGUUACCCGCAGAAGAAGCACCGGCUAACUCCGUGCCAGCAGCCGCGGUAAUACGGAGGGUGCAAGCGUUAAUCGGAAUUACUGGGCGUAAAGCGCACGCAGGCGGUUUGUUAAGUCAGAUGUGAAAUCCCCGGGCUCAACCUGGGAACUGCAUCUGAUACUGGCAAGCUUGAGUCUCGUAGAGGGGGGUAGAAUUCCAGGUGUAGCGGUGAAAUGCGUAGAA
RNAcentral lists this ribosomal RNA (656 nucleotides) under Shigella sp. Its description in RNAcentral is "bacterial SSU rRNA". It matches the Rfam family "Bacterial small subunit ribosomal RNA", at positions 47 to 695 of the family's 1533-position model. The record is from RNAcentral. Lineage: Bacteria; Pseudomonadati; Pseudomonadota; Gammaproteobacteria; Enterobacterales; Enterobacteriaceae.